This 460-nucleotide ribosomal RNA is filed under the name uncultured bacterium. Its description in RNAcentral is "partial 16S ribosomal RNA". It matches the Rfam family "Bacterial small subunit ribosomal RNA", at positions 338 to 795 of the family's 1533-position model. The record is from RNAcentral.
CCUACGGGGUGCAGCAGUGAGGAAUAUUGGUCAAUGGGCGGAAGCCUGAACCAGCCAAGUAGCGUGCAGGAUGACGGCCCUACGGGUUGUAAACUGCUUUUAUACGGGAAUAACGCGCCUUACGUGUAGGGCUUUGCAUGUACCGUAUGAAUAAGGACCGGCUAAAUACGUGCCAGCAGCCGCGGUAAUACGUAUGGUGCAAGCGUUAUCCGGAUUUACUGGGUGUAAAGGGAGCGCAGGCGGCGCGUUAAGCCUGGUGUGAAAGCCCGCGGCCCAACCGCGGGACUGCAUGGGGAACUGGCGCGCUGGAGUGCCGGAGGGGUAGGCGGAAUUCCUAGUGUAGCGGUGAAAUGCGUAGAUAUUAGGAGGAACACCAGUGGCGAAGGCGGCCUACUGGACGGUGACUGACGCUGAGGCUCGAAAGCGUGGGGAGCAAACAGGAUUAGAUACCCCUGUAGUC